Molecule: ribosomal RNA, 447 nt
Filed under: uncultured bacterium
Lineage: Bacteria
Description: SSU rRNA
Rfam family: Bacterial small subunit ribosomal RNA
Source: RNAcentral
AGAGCGAACGCUGGCGGCAGGCCUAACACAUGCAAGUCGAGCGCCCGUAGCAAUACGGGAGCGGCAGACGGGAUAGUAACACAUGGGAACGCGCCCUUCGGUUCGGAAUAACUCAGGGAAACUUGAGCUAAUACCGGAUACGCCCUUACGGGGAAAGAUUUAUUGCCGAAGGAACGGCCCGCGUCCGAUUAGCUAGUUGGUGAGGUAAUGGCUCACCAAGGCGACGAUCGGUAGCUGGUCUGAGAGGAUGACCAGCAUCACUGGGACUGAGACACGGCCCAGACUCCUACGGGAGGCAGCAGUGGGGAAUAUUGGACAAUGGGCGCAAGCCUGAUCCAGCCAUGCCGCGUGGAUGAUGAAGGCCUUAGGGUUGUAAAGUCCUUUUAACGGGGAAGAUAAUGACGGUACCCGUAGAAUAAGCCCGGCUAACUUCGUGCCAGCAGCCGC